UGUGGCGGAAUGGUAGACGGUACGGACUUAAAAUCCGUUGACCUUAAACGGUCGUGAGGGUUCAAGUCCCUCCACCCA
RNAcentral lists this transfer RNA (78 nucleotides) under Nostoc sp. HK-01. RNAcentral's name for it is "partial tRNA-Leu". It matches the Rfam family "tRNA", at positions 6 to 65 of the family's 71-position model. From Rfam's summary of the family: Transfer RNA (tRNA) molecules are approximately 80 nucleotides in length. The record is from RNAcentral. Lineage: Bacteria; Bacillati; Cyanobacteriota; Cyanophyceae; Nostocales; Nostocaceae.